Molecule: non-coding RNA, 3591 nt
Organism: Notechis scutatus (mainland tiger snake)
Lineage: Eukaryota; Metazoa; Chordata; Lepidosauria; Squamata; Elapidae
Source: RefSeq, a predicted model, not a curated record
GACCUACACAUUUGGAUUCAGAGAAAUGUUAGAAGAAUGGUCUCCAAUUACGAUGAUUCAUUUUAAAAUUGAUAAAUCACAUGCAUUUGAAGGAUUUAUAGGGAGGAAAAUGUAGGGAAGCUAUGAUAAGAUCAAUCAUUUAUUUACUUCUUUUUAGAUUACACUGCUCAACUCAAACAGUGCUGGCUCCUAACCACACAGUAGAUCAUUUUUUAAAAGAGUAACCUCCCUCCCAUGUAAUAAAAGGCAAUAUAAAAAUACAAACAUAAAAUGGGAAAUCAACUGUAGAACAAAAUAACCACAGGGGGACUCCCAUUAAGUUGGUCCCUAAUGUUUGUGGGAAGACAAAAGGUCUUACUAACUUUUCUAAAAAUGAAAAGAAUAGGGCCCUGUUGUAUAUUGGAGAGGGGGAGAUUGUUCCAGAAAACAGGUGAACACACUGGAAAGUGUCCACAAGAAAACCACAUUUCUUAGGUUACAUAAGGUAGGAAAAUUUUAAAAAAGGAAUCUGGAGCAUUCCUUUCCUGUGGAAGUUAUUGGGAAAAGUAACCUGGUCUAUGCCAUGUAAGGCUUUAAAGGGAAUCACCAGCAUCGUGAACUAAACCCAGAAGUCUGUCAGGAACCAGUGUAAACAGUAACACGUUUGGCCCAAUAUACUGUUCAAUGAAGCAGGUGCUGUGAGAGCAUUGCCACAGCUAGUGUUCUGCUGAAAAGUUGCUCAGUAGCUUCAUGAGUUCUCAGCUGAAUCACAGCUCCAACUGCAGUACUGCAACACCACCAAUGCUGUUCAUCCUGGCUUCACCACAACCGCCUCUCUUUGGAUGCUCAGUAAUCGGCAUAUGCUUCCAAAGGUAGUUCUGACUGUCUGAGGCACCUGGAAAACCAGCUCAGAGUCCAGCAGUCUUUUUCCAUCAGGAAUCAAAAGCCACCUGCAACUAUAAGAGUCCCGUCCCGGUAAGAUGCAUCCUCCAUUCCAAAAAACAAAAACAAAACAAUCCUAACUGCAACACUCAAGCCUCAAAACUGAACACUACCUUCCACCAUAUAUCCUAAAUCCAUCAUAAAAAUCCCUCAGCUAACAAAGUACUGCCCGCAUUGGUUGUCAUCUUAAACAAAGGAGGCAUCACUACUUCACUAUCAGAAUUAUAAAGUAUAGCAAUUUCUAAAUUCCUCAAAGGGUAAAGGUAUCAUGUUUAACACAUUAUUUAGGUAAAUGUACCUGGAACUAGAAGCCCCAAAACACAAACAAAUGUGAAAUAUGCAGUAAAAUAACAAUAUUUAAACUAUCUGAUUUAUAUAAUUUCCUCUGAAUUAUUCUCUCACAACCUGCUGAGAGAUCAAGAAAUGUCACCUUCAUUCUGGUUCCAUCAGCAGUAAUCAUUGAUCAGUUUUGAAUUUGAGUUGCCAUGUUGAUGGGUUCUACCAUCAACAGCAUUAUUCCCAACAUGUGACAUUCUGCUUUGUCAAAAAAUAAGUUAAUCAUACUAUUUUUACAACUUGAAAAUCAGCAACUUACAAUGCAACAAUGAUCUAAACCUUAUAAUGAACUAGCAGGAAAACAAAACUUGCAGCCCAUGCUUAGCUACUGUGGAACUGUGAAACAGUGGAAAAUGCAGAAUUAAGAAACAAGAGGUGAUAUCAACCAGAUCCAUCAUAGAAGACCUGGAGAAUGGAAGGGCAAUUGCAUCAGAAAGAUCUUGCUUAUAAAAAUUUCUAAUGCUGUUAAGAAUCUCUAGUGAAUUAAUUUAUUAAAUCUGUAGUCUGAAAAUCAGCAGUUAUAUUGGAAGAGAAGAUGGAAAAAUCUAUCAUUUCAUGAAGCAACACUUUGUUAUUUUCCUCCUAGCUAUUUCAACUUGAAGCAAGCCCAAGAUGGGACAGGUAUGAUCCUGCUCUUUACUUAAGCCAUUACUUCAACAUAAUAGGAUGACUCUAGAAUGAGUUUUCUCAAAGCAUUCUGACAGGUGUCUUAUUCACUUUAUCUGCAAAAAAAAUGAGUGGGUAGGAAGAAAAAAAGCUAGGUUUUCUUGCCCUUAAUUUGGAGGGGUGGCAGAACUAAUACCUAAUCUCUAUCAGAUGUUUUAUUCUAGGCUAUCUUAAAUUCUCCCUGUCCAUUUUCAAAGAAGGACUAUGAAUCACACCAGCCUCAAAGUCACUAACAUGACAUAGAUUCAUCCCAUAUUGUGGUUAUUUCAUACGCAAGAAUAGGAAGAUAAUAAUCUGAGAACAGGUGAAUAUAAAAUUCAGAUAAAGUUUUAACAAUGACUACCAGUGAAAGCUGGCAGACACAAUGCACUGAGAAUGGGGAAAGAAUUCUAAAUGGAACACUUCCUCAAGAGGACACUCCCAGAGUGAAUAAGCUUUUGAACACCCAUGGCAUUCUUGAGUGUUCUCCAUAUUCUCCAAAUAUUUACUGAUUUCUUCCAGAAAUAGCAUUGUAAAAUAUUUUGCUUUGAGACUUCUCGCAACAUAUACUCAUAAUCCUGGUAACGUGCAUCUUGGUAUAAAUCCAGAAUCUCUUAAAAAUGUUCUCUUACUUGCUGACCUUUUCUGUUGUAAGUCGAACUGUCAUUAAUGUGAAAGAGAAAAUUUGAAAUGGAACAGCAUACAAACUUUGGUAAUAAAGUUCCUAAAAAUCAGGUGACCAACAUAGCCAACAUAAUAUUUGACCCAAUGCAUUGAAAGCAACUCGGAUAAAAGGGCAGCUUACUUCUUUUAUCUUAUUUAUGUUUGCAAUAUUGUAAACCAUUCAAUCCCCCGAGGCUUUGGGUUGUGAACAAUGACGUGGACAUAAAACACGAAGCAAAUAAACUUUGUAUAUUUCAAAACAGCAGGUUAGACAUGAUCCAAGUCUGCAACGCCUUCAUAUACUAAUCAGUGAUCACAUCUGAGUUUACUUUCAGGAGAGGAACAAUCUCUAUCACUUACAUAUGAAGUUUUCCCAAAGGAAAGAGAAAAUAAACCAGUUUUGUUAAAAAGUGGGGAGAGGGAAGGUGCAUGGAGCAUUCCUCCUUCUGAAAGCAGCAUGAAGAGAAAGUGGACGUAAUGACACACCUUCUUCGUAAUAGAUCCUAAUUCUCUGGAAUCUCUCUCAGAGGUAUAAAGUCAUUCUUGCAUUUCAUAGGCAAAUAAAAUAUAUCCUAUUCCAGUGAACCCUUGGCUCGGGUUUCAAUCAUAGCAACUAACUCUUUUAUUCCAUGUUGUAUUAUUAUAUAACAGAGUCACCAGUAUCCACCAUGGCACUGUGAAAUAAAUAAAUAUGUAUAUACGUAUACUCACAUGUACUCUGUGAUAGGUGUAGAUGAAUCAAGAAAGAUAAAUAAUCACAGUAUGUAAGUGGGAAAAUAAAGACUUAUGGGUUCAUUCAAAGAAAAAGGAACUUGUAUUGUCUAUCAUACAAUUCCAGUAUUUCCUAAAAAAGCACAAGUAACCAUGUCAGCAGGGUUUUUAUACAUUUUAUUAAGGAGAACGUUAAAAUAGAUAUGUUAUCUUUCAGAUGUCCCCUGAAAAAUUAAUCCUUUGUAUCUGCCAGUUGACAAUGUGAGUUCUCUCUUUUCCCCAAAAAGCAAUGUAUACCAUCUACAUUAUUUCCAU